UGGUGGAGUGAUUUGUCUGGUUAAUUCCGUUAACGAACGAGACCUUUGUCUGCUAAAUAGUGUUGUGUAUCUUCGGAUAUACAUAUACUUCUUAGAGAGACUUUGCGUUUUUAGUCGUAAGGAAGUUAGAGGCAAUAACA
This 140-nucleotide ribosomal RNA is filed under the name uncultured eukaryote. Its description in RNAcentral is "partial 18S ribosomal RNA". It matches the Rfam family "Eukaryotic small subunit ribosomal RNA", at positions 1299 to 1458 of the family's 1831-position model. The record is from RNAcentral.